Molecule: long non-coding RNA, 25337 nt
Filed under: Setaria viridis
Lineage: Eukaryota; Viridiplantae; Streptophyta; Magnoliopsida; Poales; Poaceae
Description: long non-coding RNA (SVIR_LNC005046)
Source: RNAcentral
UUAUUUUGUAAUGUGUUCCUUUCAUUUGGAGAAGUAGGUCUUCCUCUGUCUAACUGAAAUUUGUUUGCUGCAGGUGCAACUGUCCCCAAAAAGGAGAUUAUUGAUGUAAUUAAGAGAUUCAAUAUUCAAGUUAACAACUUAACUCAGGUUGGCCUUUAUGUGUGCCUUCAGUUCUUGUUAGAUUCUAGCGUGUUAUAGCAUGCAUCUAUAUUUGCCCUGCACAUUCACGAUACCUUAAUGAGUUAUUUAUUCUCAACAAAAGCAACUGUGGAGCUUUACCUUAUUUUGCUAUUCUCUGCUGAACCUUCUCUAGUUCUUGCCACAAGAUCGGGUGUCUGAAUUUGCAAAGCUAAGUCCCAUUCAACUUCUAGAAGAGACUGAAAAGGCUGUUGGCGAUCCUGAUUUACCUGUUCAGCAUCGUCAACUUGUAGAGAGAAGUAAGGAACUGAAAGCACUUGAAGUGGUAAAGCCGAACCUUGUACCUUUCGUUUAUGCUUUUGCUUGAAAUGUUUGAAGCUUCCCUGACCCUGACUUUUUCAGAAAUAGUUUGUUGGUUGACUACACCACACUUUUGAUUUACUAUUACUAUUUUAUCUUGUGUUCAAUUUUAGGCUCUAAAGCAAAAGGAACAGACUUUGAAUAAUCUGAAAGCCCUUAAUGCUGAACAAGAAAAAGAUGUUGAACGUGUUCGACUACGAGAUAAUCUCCUGAGAAAGGUAUGCAUCCUCUUGUACAUUUGUAUAAUUUUAACUAUAAGUUUCGUCAAUGCUAUGAUAAUACUACUUUUAACUGUGCCAUAGGCUGAGUUAAUGAGGAAGAAGCUGCCAUGGCUGAAGUAUGACAUGAUGAAGAAAGAAUUCAUAACAGUAAUACAGGAGCAGGAGAAAAUUUCAAAGAAGAAAAUGGAAGAAGCAGCCAGAAUCUGGGAUGAUGCAAAAGGUCCUAUUGAGUACGUUCAUAGUUUCAGAUGGCUUCAAUAAUUCAAUUUGGGAAUGGAAAUUCCUUUUCCUUCUAGAUGUUUUGGAAUUAAAUCAUACUACAUGAUUUGCUAUUCAUCCUGAGAAAUAAAGGUUUCCUUUGAAAGGCCUUCGAUUUGAAUGGAUGAAGUUAGUUUAAAUGCACCUACAUUUAGUUUUUUUCUUUUAGCAAAAAUCCAAUAAUAGGAAACUGGGUCAGCAUCACCUCCAGUUUCGGUUGACAUGCCCCUUCUUUUUCUUGGGUUUUUUUUUUUGCUAACUUGAUGAUCCCAAUUUAAAUAAAAUCUCAACUACGUUGAAGCAAAAUUUCCCUAUUGCCGUAGUUUGUUAAGUACUUAAGAAUUUGUGAAUUUGGCCACUUUACAUAAAAUGUGAAAAAUGAAAUGAAACCUCUCCUCCCAUGUGGCCAAAGUUUUGAAACAAAAGGUGCGAGAUCUGCUCUUUCAGUAAUGCGAGAAACAAAGUUAAAUGGUUGCAUCACCUAUCCAAGGAGGAGACACAAGGGGAUUAACUGAGUGACAUAUAAUAACAUCAAUGGCAGUAUGGCACACCAACUCCGUUGCUGUCAAGCAUCUCCAACCUGUGAUGCACCUAAGUUUCUGUGUCAAAACUGCCGUGCAAAAACACAGGUAGUAAGGAUAUGCUGAAUGGUUUCAUCCUCCUGGUCACAUAGGACACACUGAUCAGGAUGUGGGACACUCCUGUCUCCAUUCUCCAGUUAAACUUUUUACAUGGAUUCUUUCAUUUCAUUUGAUUAAAUCCUUUCUUUUGAUUCAUAUCAGCCUUAGCUGCGCUCCCUCGGCUAGAUAUUUACUUGGAAGUUGCUUAUACAAUAUCCAUGGGUGGCUUCAAAUGCAUGGGAGAGAAUAACAGGAUAAUUAAAAUGCAGUAUAAAAGAUGUUCUUUACUUAUUUAAAGCAAACAAACAAAAACGCUAACAAACGAAGGCAUCAAUAGGUCCGGAAUAAUGCUAUUGGUAUAUGGAAACAAGUAUAUACUCUGACAUACUUUUAAGGUUUUAUGAAAAAUUGCUCUGUGCAACUUAUCUUUAUGAUUGUGCCUUUACAUUGAAGAAAUGCAACUUAGUAUAACAUGUGCUGGCUGAAUUAGGCAAGUCUAAUGGAAGACAUCUUUUUUGCCAUCUUUUUGGUAGAGAACUCAAGAAACACAAGGCAACUCAUACUUCAAACAUAAAGAAGAUAAGUAACCAAGUAAAUGAAAACAUGACCAAGCGCCAGAAGGUUAUCGACAAGGAACUGCAGCUGGUAUGAACCAUUCCUUACCGUAAUCAGGUAUCUAUUACUGUUUUACUGCGUUCACUCUUCGACAUUCCUUUUCUUGGUAUCAGAAUACAGAAUUGAAAGCCACAUUUGACGACAUUGAUGAUUUGAAAAAGCAAGAAAAAUCUCGCCAGCAAAGGAUUCUUAAAGCUAAGGAAGAUCUUGCUGCUGCUGAAAAGGAACUUGAAGGCCUACAGCCGUAUGAACAGCCUAAAGCUGAAAUGGUUGGUUGAUUCACGCUACUCCAUUACCUCCUGCUUUCUUUACAUCUUAUUUUUACUGUCAUCUGUAAAUGACUGGUAUUAUGUCCAGUCCAUGUGAUCACAGCAAUACGAUUUUUUUGUGACAGAAAUUUACUCUAGUAGCUAUAUUUAUGAUUUUGCAAUAGGCACAACUCCGAGACCAAAUUGCACAAGUAAAUGUGGAGAUAAAAAAUCUAAAAGCAGAAAGGAAUACUGUGGAGUCUCAGUUAGCUCGAGAGGAUGAAAGCAUGAGGAAAUGUUCUUAUAGGUAACCUGCUUGUGAACUGCUGUCAUCUCCACUCAAGAUUAGGUUAUCUAACACUAAGUUGCUCCAGACUGAAGGAAAUGGAAAGCAAGAAUCAUAAGCUACUUCAAGCAUUGCAAAUUAAUGGUGCUGAUAACAUCAGUGAAGCAUACCACUGGGUGCAAGAUAACAAAAAGAAUUUCAGGCGAGAAGUUUACGGGCCUGUUCUUCUUGAGGUUUGUUUAAUAUUCCUGUCAGCAGUCCUUUUUCUUUGCAGUCAAGGCACUAUACCUUGUUUCAACUGUUCCCAGGUAAAUGUUCAGGAUAAGCUCCAUGCGACUUAUUUGGAAAGCCAUGUUCCAAACUAUAUAUGGAAGGUACAACUACAGCACUAAUGUUUCAUCUUUUGGUUGUUUCCAAAUUAUGUUGUUUUACUUUUUUUAACGUUUACAUAAAACUAGAGAAAGCAACUAGGAGCAAACAUUUUACCAGUGGCUGCUGGAUUUCCUUGUGUAUACUGCCAUUGCACAUUGCCAUGUUGUAUGCAUAGUACAUUUGCAGAAGCAGAUUUAUCCUCUAGUUACUGAGGAUAAUCAGCGAUUCAGCAUCCAAUAGUAUGACAUUUCUGUAAUUAUUAAUAUACAUAGGUCCAUAGUUUAUUGUCAUUAUUAACUUACAAAUAAUCACACACCAUCUUCUUGUUUCUUUCUUGUGGAAAAACAUUGUAAUUGCUGUAAACAAUUGUUUGGCCAGUCAUUCAUCACUCAGGAUGCUUCUGACCGUGACUACAUGGCUAGAGAAAUGAAGAAGUAUGGCAUCCCUGUUUUGAACUACAUAGUGGAUGAAGGCAUCAGGAGACGACCAUUAAACAUUACUCCAGAGGUCAGCAGAUAUCUUUCCAAGCAUUUGCCCUUAUUUUUCCCCAUCCUCUUAUGCAUGAACAUUCACACUAACCAUCAUCCCUGAUUCCUGAGCAUUUUGGAAGCGCACCAUAGUUAUUCCUUCUGGUCAUGUCACUGAUCUUAGCAUUAAUUAGACUUUUGUUGACACUAAAAACAUACCUUGUGAAAUGCGUGGUAGUAAUGUUGACUGAUCUGCUUAUCUUCCUUUGGCAGAUGGAACAACUUGGGAUCUACUCCCGACUUGAUCAAGUAUUUCAAGCCCCUGAUGCUGUAAAAGAUGUUCUGAUUAGUCAGGCGAUUUUGGAUGAUUCGGUAUAACUGCUUAUGUUCUGUUCAUAAAUCUGAUCAAGUUACAUUGAUUAUUACUCCCUCCAGUGACAAAAGAUUGACAUUUUGGACACUAGCAUGGUGCCUAAAACAUAACUUUGAUUCUUUGACUACUAAUUUCUUCUAAAAUAUGUUUUCAUCAUAGCAAUUUUUAUGACUGCAACCUUUUUUCGUUCAAAACUAUCCAUACCAUUAUCAAAUGUUCAAUUUCAGUGACAAACUGUAAUUGAUGAUCCAGUUUUGAUAGGUUAAAUAGUUAACUGAAGGGAGUACUUAAACCUUCCUAGUAAGUUGUUUUUUUUAAUCUCACUUUUCUCCUUUUCAUCUGUAUUUAGUACAUAGGUACGGAUGAAACUCAUUGCAGAGCAGAUCAGGUAUCAAAGUUAGGUAUUUCUGACUUUUGGACUCCGAAUAACCAUUAUCGAUGGUCCAAAUCCAGAUAUGGCGGUUAUAUGUCAGCAUCUGUAGAUGCAGUCAAUCCUUCUCGUCUUUUCAAGUCCAGUAUGUGUUAUUAUCUCAGCCUUGAUAAAAUUUGUCAUUUACUUAAUUCGCUUGUCAUUUCUUAUUCUUGUCAGCCUUCCCAUGCAGAUCUUGACGUAAGUGACAUUGAAAAUCUUCGACUUCAGAAAGAAAAACAUGAAAAGGACAUUGAAGGAAUGCAUGAAGCUUUAAAACAGCUUCAGAGAAAACAGAGGCAAUUGGAAGAUGAAGAGGCAAAUAUACACAGGCAAAAGGUUCCAUCUAUUUUAAUUUAUUCACUUUUAUUUUGAUUUUUACUUAGUUGUUUCUGGUGACUCUUAUCUUUUGGUUAUUAAAUUUUCUAGGAAGAAAUUAUUAACAUGAUGAAAUCCCAAAAGAAGAAACGAGAAGAAAUACAAAGGCGUGUUGGUAGGAAACUUACUCCUGUUCUUCUACACUUAGAUUGUAUAAUAAUUGGUCUUCUUUCUAGAUAUGAGAAGGAGAAAGCUGGAGGACUUAUGCAAAGAGGAAGAUGUAGAAUCUAGCACAAGAAAGCUGGUUGAUCAGGUGGCUAAGUUAAAUGACAGGCGGUUUCAAGCAAUGAAGGAACUUAAGGUUAGCAGGGCCUUUAUGCUAAUAACUGACAUUGUUUUUAGCUGUUUAUCUUAAAAAACAUCAAGUUACUUUGUACCUCAUUAAGUUUCAUUUCAACUGUAUUAGGAUUUGCUUACUGAAGCAGUUGCUCUCAAGUGGAGUCACACAGAAAAGCACAUGGCUUCCAUUGAGCUUGAUGCUAAGGUAUGUUUCUCUAAUUAUGUUUGCAAAACUAGGCUUCUUAGAAGGGAUUGCCUGUACCAUCAUUUCAUAUCGAAUUGCAUACUAAUAUAUCACAUAACGACUUGUGGCUGUGGUUCAUAAACUAAAGUUGGCUUUAAUUUCUCUUAUAUUGCAUUGCAGAUGACACAAAAUUAUAAUAUUUAUAAAUGCGAAUCUGGUGGUACUAAUUAUUUAUCAUAAAAUCUACGAAUUGUUAGGCUAGUUGUUGGGAAAAAGCCAUGAAGGUUGAGCGCAUCUUAUAGUAGUUUUUUAUAAUUUGGUGUAUCUAUUUAGCAAUUAUGUGGAAAAUUCAGACAAUAAGUGGCUAGUGGGAAAAAUGAACAAACGGUUAAGUGGGAAGUGAACUCAACUUAAUGAAUGAUUUUUUGGUUGGUGUCUUUUUUCCCCUAGUCAUAAUGUUGUGAACUAGUAGCUGUUUUCUAAUGUUGUACAUGGUGUCUAAACACUUAACCAUGGAAUUAUUUGGCUGGCAUUAAUGUAUUUUUGUGUUCUGUUUGACCAUAAUAAAUCAUGUCAUAGAUAUGGGAGAUGGAAAAGGGUGUGAAAAAACUUGAAAAGGAUGCUAAUCUGGCUGCCAGAGAAUACGAAGAUUGUAAGUUGGUGUUACAAUAAAUUCUGCAAUUUUCUUGCAAUAUGUGAAGUAAAAAAUAGUUAACAUCAAUAAUUUGUCUUGUUAGUUAUGAUCUUUUGGUCUUUGAGCCCAUGGAUAUCAGAGACAACUCUCACAACAUGAUCACCAUGCUUCAUAGUCAAUUAUUUCGUACAUUUUUUUACUUGUAAAUUAAAUAUUUUUGCGUACUUCACCAAUUAAUUAUGUGCAACAUGAACGAACAAUUAAUUGAAGGUGAGAAUAUGAACAAACAACUAAAUGGGGUUUGAACUUACAGUUGAGUGAACUUGCAAUUUGUAUUUUUCUAGUUUCUGUUCAAUCGUUGUCACUGUAUGAUCAUGUAAUGAACUUAUCUUUUAAAAAAUUAAAAAGAAAGGGAGAAGCAAAUUACCUUGAAAUAUGGUUGGAAGUGGUAUAAUGGUUUAGUCAAGUAAUUUCCUUUUAACAUUGUACUACAAAUUAUCAUCUGUAGUUGAAGCUGCUUGCCUCCUUUUUUAAGGAGACCUUACCUGCUACUGCUAAUUGAGAAACAAUGCAGCAUAUGGCAUAAUUAUUUUCAUAAUCACAUUUAUUUUAUUUUAUCAUCAGGUAAGAGAAUAACUGCAGAGCAUAAGCGGAAGCUGGCUAUGGCGAAACAGCAUGCAGAGUCUAUUGCCAAGAUCAGUGACCUGGAAAAAGAGUUUCGUGCGGUAUAGUUCAAAUUUGUUUAUAUAAACUUUAUUCUGAAUUCAAAUAUUUUACUAGUUCAUCAAUGUAAAAUAAUUUGAAGUAGAAAGUAAUGAUUAUAACAGUAUUUGUUGUAGUUUCAUUUUUUGUUUUCUUAAGUUAUUUUGAUUAAGGUAUCAGAAAGUAGACUCUGAAAUGUCAACUACCGGAGUAUGUAUUUUGUUGGUUACCUAAAAUUAAAAAUAAAAGAAAAGAUAGUACAAACAACUCAGGAAAAACCAAAGGAAAAUUUGUGUGUGUGUGUUUGGGGGGGGGGGGGGGAGGGGGGAGGGCAUACUGGACAGGGGAUUUAAGGUAGGGAGAUUAAUCAGUUCAUGACAAUGGUUUUUGCAUCAUCUUUGAUCUUAUUUAACAAAAUGCCUCUAAUAUUGGUUCCUUUGUUGGAAUGCUCCAACAUGAAAUCAUUAAUUCAUCAUACUAUAUGUCUGCACACACUUUAUCAGGAUUGAUCUUGUCCAUUAAUAAUGUCUGUUGUAUUAUUACUAGCACCUGGAUUUUUAUGCAGUUAUGCUAUUUUAUCAUCAGGUUUCAACCCUAAACUACCCAAACUUGCUUGGGACUGAAAGGCUUUGAUGUUAUUGAUGUUGUUUAUGCUUUUUUAUCAUCUAGUACACCCUGUUUUCCUGCUCCUUAUUUGAUUCUGCUAUAAUACUUAUUGCAAUCCAGGAACUGUAUUGCAGUCAAACACAAGCAUACAAUAUUUCCAGCUCUAAAGUGCUCUUGAAAGUUCGCUAAAAUUGAUCCUUUGAAAGUCUUGUCCUACUCUAUACUAACACUGAAGGGGCGGACACGACACACAUCUAUGAGAUUUUCGUGGAUCACUAUAGAAUCUUCUAUGCUAACUUCUGUCUGGCUCUGCCAUUUUAUUCAAUGGGCUGGAUGCUGGUGUCUCCAUGAUCCAAAUAAACUUCUUAGCAGCAUGCUUUAGCACUAACAAUCCGUUUACUGAUUCUUUCACUCCUUUGUAAUUGCAGAUGCCUCCUACCAUAGAAGAACUGGAAGCUGCAAUACAAGAUACUGAAUUGGAGGCAAAUUCUAUGCUAUUUCUAAACCAAAAUGUUUUGCAGGAGUAUCAAAACAGGCAACGCGAGGUAUCAAACUAUACCUGGUUUAUACAUGCUGGCCAGUUAGCAAUGAUUAUGUUUUAUCGUCUUUAUUCUUGUCGGAAGAACUGUCUACUGAAAACUUUGCGGUUGGUUUUUAUGGGAUUAUCGACAUGUGUUUUUGAAAUCUUUCUGGAGACCAUAACUUUGUGAGGGAAUCAGGGGAGGCAUUAUGAAAUGUCUAUUUCCUGACGUGCAUUAAAAAUUGCGGAGGUCGCUUACCAUAGAGUGCUCUCCUUUCAUGCUACACCCUUCUGAAAAUGCUCGGCUAUAUAUGCAGAAUGUGCUGCUAUUGGGGUGUAAUCAUGUUUUGGUCUUGGUGUCAAUAAACUAGGAUAGUAGACGAGGCAGCUUGACCUUGGACAUUUGAACAAUGAACACUUGAACCAUCUAAAAAGAAGUUAAGUUUGAGCGCGUAGCUUUGAGUAACAGCAUUUCUUCAUCUACCGAAUUAUAAUAUGUUACACUGAGCUACUAAAUCUAUCUGCUGCUUCUACCUAGAAUUAUUGUUGACUCACUAUUUUGAUUUUACAGAUAGAGUCAAUCUCAAAUAAACUUAAGGGUGAUAAAGAUGAAUAUGAAAUAUGCUGCUCCGAAAUUGAAACUGUAAAGGUUUGAACACUUCAUGUUCCCACCUAAACUAAAAUCAAUGUUCUCAUAUUUUUGGAUGCAUCUGCUUUGACUUGAAUUUGAUCGUUUUGUAGGGUAAAUGGCUUCCAACUCUGCGGACUCUUGUUUCAAAAAUAAACGACACAUUCAGUCAUAACUUUCAAGAAAUGGCAGUUGCUGGAGAAGUUUCACUGGGUCUGUAUCAUUCUCUUUCUUCUCCAUUACUUGUACUUUGUACACUUUGAUAACACACAAAUCAUCGUGCCAAAACUUCCGUGCAGAUGAGCAUGGUCUUGAUUUUGAUCACUACGGCAUUCUUAUAAAGGUGAAGUUUAGGUGAGUUUCUUUUACCAAGUGAGAGCAAUGUUCUGUAUUCUGAUAUUUCUUGAAAUUGGAUGAAUAAAUAACCAGCAGCCCCACACCUUAUUAAUGAAUAUACUGUUCUGUCGCGGUAAGCUAGCUUGGUAUUGUCUACUCCUAAUUACAUUAGCCUGAAGUAUGAUGGUGUAACCAGGCUCAGCCUUUCCGAGUUGGCUAAAGGGAAACUUUGAGUAGUUAAGAAAUUAUAUUAUUGAUAUAAUCUUAUGAUUAUUAGGCUACAAAUUAUCUAUUAGGAUCAGUCCUACAAAUGAUCUUUCUGUGUUCCCUGUAGCCCAUUGUGAAAGGUUUUCUUUUUUUCAAAUGGACAGAAUAGAAAUGAAAUAGCACACUGUGUGUAUUAUAUUCCCUUAUCCACUCUCUCCAAAGUUUAAGUAUCUUUCUUUCCAAAGCUCGUGAGUGCAUGAUGUGAAGCAGGCUAGCCUUAUUUUGCGGCGUGCUAUAUUUGUAGUGGGCUGCUCUCUUUGAAAAAAGAACCCACUAUGAACAGCUCCAUAUCUGAGUGCAGUUCACUAUUGAUGCCCAUAUCGUCUGAAAGUGAAUGGUGGUCAUAUCAUAAUACGAAGCAGAUUACACUUGUAAAAUUCUCGGAGUUAUGCAAACUGUGACUGUACAGCGAACACUGAAUACAAAAUAAUUUCCUAACAUGAUUGUUCCAACAAUAUUCUGUGAAGAUGGCUUGUUCUUCUGUGAUCUUUUUGCUUCCUGCUUCCUAGUCUCAAUCAGGCAGGAGAUCUAAGUAGAUGCUGGUCUGGUGCCUUGUAUAAAAUUCUAAUUCCAACUGGGAAAAAAAUUCCAUAUUUGCGCCUGUGGAGUCUGGCUGGGGCUAGAAGAGUUUCUCAUCUCCUCACCCCGAUGCCUUCAUCAGUUUAGUUUUAGUAGAGGUCUUGUAGGGUCUGAUCUUUUCUGUUUUUGUUAAACAGGUGAGUAGUUUUUCUGUAAAGGUAAUGGUUUUUUCUGUUCAGGUUGUUUUCCAAAAAAAAAACCUGGCUGUAUCUUGGGUUUCUAAAACCCCUUUUCUUCUUAAUAUAUUGAUACGCAGCUCUCCUGCGUUGUUGAGAAAAAAAAAUUUGUUGCUGAUAUAUAUUUGUUCUAUCCUGUGCUUCUUCUAGCAUGUAGUUUGAGGUUUUGAUAUGUUUUCUUUUGGCUGUCAGGCAAACUAGUCAGCUGCAGGUGCUAAGUGCUCAUCACCAAUCUGGAGGGGUAUGAAGAAAUAACAACAGUCAGAUUGAUUUUGAAACCUUUUUCCCCUACUUCUGAUCACUAUUAUUUCCUUCCCAUUCAUAGGAGCGAUCAGUAUCGACCAUCUUGUAUCUUGUGUCACUUCAAGAUCUUACCAACUGCCCCUUUCGGGUGGUUGAUGAGAUAAAUCAAGGCAAGGCAACUGGAAUUGUCCCUCAGUUGUAUGACUGUUACCUUGUAAGCAUUUAGGUGAUCUAACUCAUCCCAUCCAAAAGUGCAGGAAUGGACCCCAUAAAUGAGAGGAAGAUGUUCCAGCAGCUUGUUAGAGCUGCCAGCCAAAUUAACACACCACAGUUAGUGACAGUACACGCAACACCUUGUACAGCAUGCAUAUCUACAGACCUUCUGACAUCUGGUAACUGCCUGUUUCUUUUGGCCGCAGGUGCUUCCUUCUGACGCCCAAGCUGCUGCCUGAUCUGGAGUACAGCGAUGCCUGCAGCAUUUUGAACAUCAUGAACGGCCCAUGGAUCGAGAAGCCAGCGGAAGGUACAUGUCUAUCUAUGCGUUGUUAAUAAUCCAUGCUCAUCGUGCUGGUGGGCUGAACAUGAAAGCUAAUAUAUAUGCUUGAUACUUUCAGUUUGGAGCGCCGGGGAUUGUUGGAGGGACGUGAUGAGAUCUGCAGUGCAUUGAUUGGCCGAAUCCUGCCUUGGCAGCAGCAGGCUUUUGUAAAGUUAAAUGUGUAGGUUAUCUCGAAGCAGCUUUUGGGUGGUUAAUUUAAGUUUUAGAUGUACUCCAUGUAAAUUUAGGUGUUUCUAGAAAAAAAUUGUAAAUUGCAUUUCGAUGCAGUGUGUGUUGGUAGAAGUAGAAUGAUCUAGAACUGACUGGAGCCUGGAGGCUUGUAGAAGUAGAAUGAUCUCUACCCUGUAGGCUGUAGCUGACCAGCUGGUAUCUCUGCAUUUCGAUGCAGUGUAUGUUAUUUAUCCACCAGCAUCGUUCAGUAAUUCUUUUGCAGUGUGACUCUGCACUCUGCAGCGCUAAUCCAUGUGUUUGGCGCCUUGUCUAUUCUGGCUGCGCCAUUGUUUGCUUCCGCAUUCUGAUGUCAAAUCCGCUCGACUGGCAUAUGUUCCAGGCAACCUGUCGCUCGCUUCCGCUGCAUUUUUGUCAGCUCUCGCUAAUCUUAGCGAAAUGUUCAGAAGCGAAAUGGGCCUGGGUGCCCGGUGACCCUAUUUACGGGUUGCACGGUCGCGCUAGAAUUCUUGUUCUUGUACAUCCCGCUGAGCAAGAUCCCGGCCGGAGCCAGCCAUGUCAGUCGCUGUGGCCUCGAAGGCGGCACGGUCACCUUUACCCUUUACCAUCACCAUCCCGAUUUUGCAAUUCAAUCCGUGUGUAGGAAGGAAGUGUGUUUAUCCGAGUCCUGAACAUGAUUUAAAAUACACAAGUUUACUCUUCGGAAGUGCCAAGAACAUUAUAACAUGCUAGGCCUUUUAACAUGGUGGCCUUUUAACCAGGACGGGGCCGGACCUUACAAAGAUCAGAUGCUAGGCCUUUUAACCCCGACCUCUCGACAUACCAGCAUUUGGCUUUAAUAAGAUAAUAAAUGCCGUCGUCCAGCUCAAUCAUGACCCACACACUACCUGUCUCCAGCCAACAGGCAAGUUUACGAGGGAGCCCCUCGAGAAACCGUAAACCACCAAAGCGUCCAUUCCACAGCUGCGGAGCGAUCUCAUUCUCAUCUCGGCUUCGCCGCCGCCGUCGCCGCCAUGCCUCCCUCCCCAUCCUCCACCGGCGCGGGCGCCGCCUCGCCGUCCCCCUCCGCCUCCGCCUCAGCCUCGGACCCGACCCCGUCCUGGUGGGAGUCGGUCUCGCAGGCGCGGUCCCGCAUCCAGACGCUCUCCUCCAUCCUGCCCCCGGCCGCGUCCCAGGACGUCGCGGCGCUGGCGGACUCCGACCGCCCCGCGCGCGCGCUCCUCCGCUCGCCCGCCGCCUACUCGGCGCUCUCCGAUGCCCUCCGCGCGGGCGGGGGCGCCGACGACCCCGCCUGCCACUGGCUCUACGACACGCUCCUCUCCGCUGACCCCGACCUCCGCCUCGCCGCGCUCGCGUUCCUGCCCCUACUGGCGGCGCUCUACCUCCGUCGCCUCCCGCCCGAGCUCCCCUCAUCGCUCUCAGGGUUCGAAGCGGUGCUCCUCGCCGUCUACUCCUCUGAGGCUAAGAAUCGUCAGGGGAAGCCCGUCCUCGUCCAGGUCCCGGACCUCUCCGUCCCCUCGCUGUACCACACGCCGGCGUCCAGCCCCAGCUCCAAGUCUCCACGCCGGCCGCAGCCCCCGCCGAUUCCCCCUCCGCAGGCCACCCCCGUGGUGGGGGUGCUCUCACCACCCUUGGAGCCGCAGGCCGCUGUGAAGUCCACGAAGCGCGCAGGGAUAAUUGGGGUCGCUUUUGAAGCUUACUACUCCAAGAUUUCGCAGAUGCCGGCUGCGUCAAAGGUGGAUGCCUGCAAUGCUGUGGCGGCUUGGGCGGGGCAGUACUGCAAAUGCCGAUUUGAGCUUGAUGACAAGGAGCUGGAGGAAGAGGAGGGGGACUCUCUGGGGUCUGUGUCACCAAUGUCAUUGGAGGCUGAGAAUGGGAAGGAGUUGGAGAAGGAACUGGCAAGGAUGCACAUCAAUGGAACUAGCAGUGGGCGAAAUUGCGGUGAGGAGGAUGACAAGGAGGGGAGAGUGCCGCUACCCUGGGAGCUGCUCCAGCCGGUGAUGAGGGUUCUUGGGCACUGCUUGCUUGCACCGCUGAACCCAGUCGAGGUGCGGGACGCAGCUGCAGAUGCUGUCAGGAUUGUCUACGCCCGUGCAUGCCAUGACCUUGUGCCACAGGCAAUCUUAGCAGCCAGAAGCUUGAUUGAGCUUGACAAGAGUGCACGGAAGGCUGCAAAGGCAGCAGCUGCUGCAGCUUCUGGGACAAUUGUGGCUGCUGGCACUGCUGGAAGCACUGCGUCGGGUUCUAGGCCAAGUUCAAAGCCAAACACACCCAGCAAGCAGCGCAAGCCUGACACAUUACUCGCGUCCAAAUGAAGUCAACUGUAUCCAGGGAGUGUUUGCAGGAUGGUACAGAGUUUCUUUCUCAUGAUUAUUGUGUGUGCGUGCCACUUGAAUAUUGGUGAAAGUUCAGUAGACAUUGCAAUGUGUAAAACGGUACUAUGGGUGGAAGAGAAUUGGCUAAGGUUGUUUCCAACUUGGUGUUGUAUGUUAACUUGUUUAUGUUCCUUGCUGCAUAUAGUUGAUGAAUCAACAUAUAAAUUUUGUAUUUGGUGGCUUGUUGAGGAGCAAGCAUUCAUACAUUGGUUUCCGUUGUUAUGUUUAUCUGAAUUUCUUGCAGCAGUGCACGCUGAUAUUUUACGAUUUGUGUGCCGUAGAAGCAUAUGAUGCAAUUUAUUGUGUCUUUAUGUACCCAAGAGUAUUUAUAUCACUUGGUGACUCGUGUAGUUGUAUGCCUAAAGUUGAUUCUCUGUAUAAUUACAUAAUGUUAAGUGAAAAGUGAUGCUAGAUUAGCUAGAAAAAAGUGAAAAAAGUCAAAAACCUAGCGUCUAUUCCAGAAAGAAAUGGUGUGCUCGCUUCUUCUAUCUAAUUUUCUACUGCGAGUUGUUUGCUGCUCCAUGUAUUGGGUUUGCUAGUAGCUGGAAGUUGUGCCACUGCAUCCCAGUUGUAGCCUUGUAGGGUAUGUCUGGUAAUCUGGUCUGACUUUUUCUACUAGAGUUGAUUGUUGUAAACCUGUAGAUUGUAGUGGGUUAUCUUCAUUUCUUUGUAGAUUUCUAUAAGACGUGCAUGCAGUUCAGGGUUCAAACUUCAUGGCUUUUACCAACAACUAGCCCAACAAUUUGCAGAUUUUGUGAUAUGGGAUUAGUACCACCGAAUUCAUAUUUACAUAUAUUAUAAUUUUUGCCAUCAGUAAUGCAAUUUAAGAUAAAUUAAAGCAAACUUUACUUUAGUCUGUGAGACCACAACUACACAAGUCAGACCGCGUCUUAGGGCCUGUUUGGAUACACCCUCAUAAACUUUAGGACACUCAUAAAGUUUAGGAGCUAGAAAUUGGUAGUCCUAAAAUUUAUGAGUGGGCUGUUUGGAUGGAAUCAUAAUCUUUAGGAUGUUAGAGGGGAAAUGACUUUUGUACCCCUAAUUACUCCAUCCCUGCUCCGUUUCUAGCGCCGUGGAGAGAGAAGGGAGGGGCAAGAGGGGUAAAUGAUGGGUUGGGGACCACUUUUAGGAGAAAAAUGACCCAUUAUGAUGGUUUGGUCCUCCUAAUGAAAAGAGCACUCCUAAACAUUAUGAAUGCACUUUUAUGACAUAUGUUUGGAUGCACAAGUCCUAAAAGUGGACUAAAAGUGAAGUUCUAAAGAUUAUGAGUGUGUAUCCAAACAUGCCCUUACAUUUUGAAAUAGGUGCAGCAGGUAAGGCUUUUAUUCUUGUGAUGGUAGCGUUCGACUAGUUGAGCAUUUAUUACUCACCAACGGUGCUCAACACAAGCAACCAAACAAACCCUGAUGGGCUAGCUUGAUCCAGGAGAUUUUGAGCAAAGCCGGUGCUUUUUAUAUGUUACAACUUAUAAGCAAGUCACACGCAUCUCCACUGUCCAUUGAUGUUACAACAUAAGCUAACAGGGCCAAAUGGGACAUACAGGAACUGAAGUUACAAUACAAAGCACAAAGAGUGGUGGUCACACCGUGCUCCAUUUGAUCUCGACUUGUAUCAUCCCGUUCCUUGAGUUGAUCAGGUGGUAUUUCUCGUUGAUUCGGCCAUUGUUCACCACGUCCACAAGGUUUAUAUUCACAUGCCCCAGGGAUUCCUGAAAGAUUGAGAGAUCAAGCAUUUUGCGUUAUGACAUCAAUAGAGGCUGCUGCGACCUGAAGGCAAGGUAAUGAGCAGUACUUGCCUUGUUGGGGUAAGGAAGUCCGCGGCGUUUGCUUUUAACUUCAAUGUGGAUCUUGUCUUCCACAGGAGGCUCGUCCAACAUGAACUGGAACUCCUCGCUCCAUCUUGGAUCUCUCGUCUUCCUUAUCACCUGCAGCAGCAAAUGUACAUAGCACAAUGAAGAUGAUGUUGCUAUGGUACGGAUUUUGGUUGGUGGAUUUCAUGCAAAAAAAUUAGAGUAAAACCACUAGGAUGCAAAUGUGAGGUAUGGACAGUUUCAGAUGGUUAUGACUAGUUUGCUGUUCCAGUCCUUUUAUGUGCCACCUUUGACCCAAAUGGUUAUGAUGCAAGUUUCUGUUCAGAUGAUAGUCAUGGUAGAAUGAACUGCACCAAUGUGGCAAUGUCCUUGCGGAAGCAGGGGCAAGUAUUGUUAUGCUAGUGAAAUUCUGGAUCAGUUCUCCAAAUGGAACUAUAGGAUGCACUGAGACACCUAUCAUUCUAAACCUUUCUGCUCAAUAAGCUUUCCACAACUUUAGCCUAGCAGGUCAAGAACCUGGACAUGCAUACUCAGGAGUCUGGACCUAUCACUUCUAAGCUCAGACAUUGUUACCAAAUUACAUAUAGUUCAAUUCACCUGGCUAUAAAAAUGAAAAGCAAAAACCAAUAAAGACAAAAGUCUCUCAAUAGGGUUAAAUUGUCAUGGUAACGUAGGCUUAAUCCCAAACUGUAACUAAAACAUGUAAAAAAUGUCACUGAACUUAAGAAGAGGGCUUUGUUAUGUUUGGUGGUACACAUUUGAAAAAUGAAUGAGCAUUGCUACAGGAAAGGAAUUUAAAAGUGUUACCUUUGUUUUCUUCCGUUCUCCCCUGAAAAGAACCUCAGCAUAUGGAUUAGUGUGCCGCUUCCCUUCGACAUCUUCUGCAUUUUCUACAGAAACCAACAACACCCCACCACUGGAAUCACCGUCCGCUUCCCUUCUUGCACUGGCGAUACCUUCACCAUCUGAAGCCACACUGGCCGUGCUGUCUUCUCUGAAGGGAUCAAAAGUCAACUCAACAACGAGCUUUCCUCUGUUCUUCUUGUUAUGUGGAUCAUUUGGGUUCAUGCUUCGAACAAGGUCGAGUGUGAAUAACCUGCUCUCAUAAGGAGUAAGCAAACGGAGCGGAAUUACUUGCAUACCCAAUUUAUCAUGCAUUUUAACCUGCACAAUCAGCAACAGGAAGGUGAUUAAUUGGUGUCUCUUCUUCCAAUGCAAUCCAGGAAAAGUAUAUGAUUGUAUAAAAAAUGAGGGUUAUGAUGGUAUCGGAAGUAGAAAACAAGGAUGAUAAGUUGCAUACAGCAAGAAACCUUUUCCCAAUCAAACAUGUGGAGCUCAAGUAGUUGCGUGCCUGGAUCCUUUACUAUGAACUUGAAGUGUUCAUUCCAUUCAGGAUUCAGGUUGCUCAUCUUAACAGUUGUUUUCUUUGAGGGCAGUCUUUCACCACUCAGGCGCAUCUUGACAUAGGGAUCAGAUUUUCCCAGCAAGUCCAUCUUGAGAAGAUUCAUGGCUCUAAUUACCUUCACAUGUAAGAUUCCAACAGGCUUCUUUGUAGCGCCACUGCAAUAUGGUUCAUACAAUAGUCAUACUAUAAGCAGAACCACAAGGAUUUUUACUAGAAGCAGUUUUAAUGAUUAAUUUUCCCUCUUGUACAGAUAAUCUUAUCACCAAAUUAUAUGUGGACUUUAUGUUUUAAGAAAAUAUUAUGUGGAAUACCGUAGUAUCAUAUGCACGUAAAUAAAUAUAAUCAGGGGGCUCGGAUUGAUGUUUAUCUUGUUGAAAGCAGGAUGGCUUGAUGCAACUUGAUUAUGGGAGUUAAAAAAUUGCUAGAGAAUUUCACCUUGCUCCAUCUAAGAUUGGAAUCUGUAUGACCUUAGGCCAGUGAUACAGAAUUGAGAUUUGCUUUGAUAUUUGAUCCUGUGAGAAACACAACAGAUGCUUAAUAAUUCCAGGAGAACAUAGUAUAUCAUGAUUCAAGACUUUGGGUAAUUUUUUUUAUCCAAGGCAGACGAGCAGUAAACUACCUGAACAUACUGAUACAAGCCCGGUAUUGCCAUGACAUCUCCCCCAAACAAUUUGAAUCCAAAAUCUAUGCGUGGCUGUAUCCAUAAGACUUUGUUAGUAUUCUACUUUUCUUUAAUGAAAUUAAGUGCAGACCAGCAAACAUAUUUAUACCUUCUCCAUUAGUGAAACACACAAGUUAGAAAAGCAGGGAAAGCUCGGCACAAGCGGCUUCAGAGUAACACGUGGUGUUAGCAUUAUAUGUAGAUCUUCAAGCUGAAAAUGGCAAUAUGAUCACGACUGUGGACUACCAAGCCUUGUCUGUACAAUGCAGCCAGGAACAAAGCAAACCUGAGCAGACACUUUGAAAGAAUGCACCUUCACAUUUACGAUGACACUCAUGAUGCUAGCCCACCGAAUCACAGGCUCAAUUACCAAUUCUUUUUCUCGCAUUUCGUAGACUUUAAUACCUGUUGUAGACAAGUAGAAGUAUGGGGAAGAUGUCCAAAUGAAAGCCAAUACAAGUUGCCAAGUUGGAUGUCAAGUAAACAAAGAAUCAUUUCAAACUAUAGUUCUACUACAAUGCAUCACGGUAGAAGUCGGAAUGAAUGCCCUAGCUUUAAAUUCUAGGACUACUUUCCUUCAAGAGACUUGUAAGAAAUUCUGCACUAAAUCAGAAUUAGUUAAGCACCAUUUUAAUUAACUAGACUUUAAACUUCAGUACCAAUUCAGUCUGUUCGUAUUGCAUACUUGAGUUAUAUAACAAUAGAGUUUGUCGGCGGUAUAGUAAUGAUAAUCACUGUUUAGACAAUGUUGCUGUAUCACUGGUCUUUAGGAGAAAUUACGGACCUUGAAAUGUAGGUGGAAGAGACCCAAGUGUCAAUUGUUCAUAUUCAAUUGAUUCUAUACCAUACUUCCCGACAUAUUGAUCAAAUAUUGGUCUUGUUGCACGUUUUAUAUUGUUGCAUAUUGCCUGUACAAGAAAGCCAAAGAACAUUAUUCUGGAUAACCGUGCUUCCUUACUAAAAUUUGUACAGCACCACAAUGAUGUUGCCAUUAAUAACACACUAAAUUUGUACCAAAUAGGCCAGAUGAAAGUUGAAAUAACCUUAUCCAAGAAAGGCCACAUGUCAAAAAUGAACUUGUUCAUCCAGUCAAUCUGCAAAACAGUAGGUGGUCCUAAAUUAUCCCUUCAAUCAUGAAAUAUUGUGUUUGACCAUUUGUAACACCAUCUUCCAAUAAAAAAACAUUCGUAAAUAUUUAUAAUAAUAUUUUGAAUGUCUGUAAAAAAAUUGAACCAUGCUAGUCGAACAUCAAAUAACUAAUUUUCUUAUCUGCCUCGUCAAGGAUUUAAGAAAAUACUCCCUUCGUUUCAAACUGUAGGUCGUUUUGGGUUUUCUAGGUUCAUAGAUGUUUGUAUGUAUCUAGACUUACACUAAAUUUAGGUGCAUACGAAAAUCUAUGCAUCUAGAAAAGCCAAAAUGACCUACAAUUUGGGAUGGGGGAGUAUGUACUAUCUUUCUGAAGAUACCCAAGCUAACAUGAGUGAGUAACACGAUCCCAUCAUCCACAUUCUACAAUAAUAAUAAUAAAAAACUUGAGCCGUGGGAGAAGACAGCCCACCAAGGCAUUGCAUCUAAGGUCGACCAGAGGCUUCACUGAAAGAGACAUCAUGGCUGCCCAGGAGGCCAGGACCAUGCUGAAAGUGGCACACAGUGAGAUGUCUUCACGCUAACAAGUAGGUGGCUUACCACCUUGCUACAAGAACACUCUCAUAAUGAUAAUAGAAAUGCUCACUGGCAUAACAUGACACACUUUCUAAACCUCAUUUCUCAAAUUGGGUGAUUGAUAGCUCACAUAUCCUUAUUAAGUGGGAAUACUUGUAGAGUUGGUGACUUUCCAAAAGAAUAAAUAAAGCAAUAUACAGAAAUAUUUGUCACAUUAAUUUGAAGCUCACAUAUCCAUUGUUUGUUGCUAUGUUGACAACAAACAGAGACUGAUAUAUUACGAACGUUUGCUGAAGAAACAGAGAAUAAAUCAUUGGAAUAGUACUAUAGCAGUGCAACAAAUACUCACCCGCUCAUAGUCUGGGCUCUUCACCCAUAAUGGAAUAUCUGGUAUUGUUGUCUGCAGGGUCUCAGAAUCUAAAUCCCGUAAAGGUCUAAUGACAGGAUCCUGUGAAGUCAAUCAUGAAUAAUCAGAUCACGAUCACAAUGCAAAAUUAUUAAUAGAGAUAGAGAAUUACCAUAAAUAUCAACCUCUAUGGGAAUUUAAAUUUGUAAUAGUGUUGCCUGCUAUAACCAGGUAAAAAAAUUAUGAAAGAAAAAAAGUCAGGUUCAAGAGUUUCAAAAAUUCAGAUUACGUUUUUUGUAUGCAAGUUCAGUUUUUUUUGUUAACGAAUAAACUAGUUAUUACCACUAGUUAAAGAUUCGAAUUUCAAACUUUUCUGCAAAAAAAAGGCGCGGGGGUGGGGGUGGGGGUAGCAUUUCAUGGUUUCAGUUUGAUUUAGUUAUUACUACGUCAAAGCUAUCUUUUGAUAACUCAUGUUUUGAAAACGAUGGUUAUGACUUUUCUUUACUUAACAUUGUGGAUCUGAUCCUUUCUUUUCUUAUGAGCUAAGAUAUCCAAAUGUCAUUUUAAUCUUAGUAGAAAGACUUUAGAAUAGUACGGCAGGUAUAUGAUUUAGUAAAUUUCCAAGUUGGAUUAUGUUUCCAUCAUAUUCAACCAUGUCCUUUUCGUUCCUAUGGGCUAACCGGUGAAACCACCUGUAACUUAGCUCUGACCAUGAUGCCCUUCCAAGGAAAUGAUUCCAAGCACAUUAGACAACAAUGGAAGAAAAGCAUCGUUUACAUCGCUAAGCAUCCGGUGAUACAAUGUAUCCAUCUGCACUAAUCCCGUUUCAAACUGGCAACCACACUAAGGUCAUGUUUAGUUCACUCCAAAUCCCAACUUUGACACUAUGUAAAAAGAAGAUUCCCCAUCAUAUUAAACUUGCGGUACAUGCAUGGAGUACUGAAUGUAGACGAAAUUAAAAACUAAUUGCACAGUUUUGUUGUACUUUGUGAGACGAAUAUUUUGAGCCUAAUUAGUCAAUAUUUGGACAAUAAUUCACAAAUACAAACGAAACGCUACAGUAUUGCUACAGUAAUUUUGGCACCCCAAAAUUGGACAACUAAAUAAGCCCUAAACAAAUGCAAACAUAAUAUCUUAUUGUUACAGACUUGGCACGUCCUUCUUGAAAUCUGUGGUAUCGGCAUUGUCCCACGUAGACACAGAUGCAUAACCCCAGGUGAAAUCAAUACCGUCGUCACUGUAGCUCAAAAUAAUCCCAUCAUAAUUUGCUGAAACCUCCUGAGCAGCAGUUUUGUAAUCGGAAAGCACGCAUCUAGCUGGUAUAAACCCGUUCGUGCAAGUUGCCACUUGGGAAGCAUAACAGCAAGACGAACCAGAAUCAGAUACGCAAUCGAUUCGGCAGGCCAUUCAAAGCUGGAAAAGUCCUUUCAGCUGGCCAACUAUUUCUCAAAGGAACCUACUGGACAACCAAAGACUCAAGAGGCGUCUCGAUCGGGCAUGACUGAAAUUUGCUCCAGGUGAGGCAAUCUGACAUGGGCUUUCGAGGACCACACGGCACGAUCUUCUUCCCAACGCCGCAUCGUGUACAGAAAUAUAGAAUAAGCUCUAGCAACUCAGCACGAAAGUGCUUGGUCGGUGAAUUAGGGGGUGUUUUUCCUCCAAGCUUCAAGACGUGAAUUAGGGGGUGUUUGAUUCCUCGAACUAAAGUUAGUCCGUAUCACAUUGAAUAUUUGGAGGCUAAUUAGGAGGACUAAAUAUGAGUUAAUUAUAAAACCCAUUACACAGAUGGAGGCUAAACGGCGAGGCGAGACGAAUCUAUUAAGUCUAAUUAAUCCAUCAUUAGCAAAUGUUUACUGUAGCAGCACACUGUCAAAUCAUGGACUAAUUAGGCUUAAUAGAUUCGUCUCGCCUUUUAGCCUCCAUCUGUGUAAUGGGUUUUGUAAAUAGUCUAUAUUUAAUACUCCUAAUUAGUAUCUAAACAUUUGAUGUAACAGGUGCUAAAUAUUCGAUGUGACAUGUGCUAAAAAUAAGCAGGUUGAACCAAACACCCUAUAAGAUAACCGAUAGGAAUUCCAAACAUCCCAAUCAGAUCUUCCCCAACCCCAACCUCAGGCACAAUCUUCCCCACGUCUCGCGUAGCGUAGAACAAGCCAACAACUUACUACUACGUGCUUGGUCGCCAUUUCUUCUCCAAGAGGCCGAAGCUAAUUAAUUAACCAACAGGAACCAAACAUCCCGAUCAAAUCUUUUCCCCAAUAAUAUGUGGGGGACCGGCAGCGGAGUCGAUGGCUGCUUCUGCUUGCGUGUGCAGCCUCGAUUCUGGGGACCCAUCGUGCUGAUGAUGAGUGAGUGAGUGCAUGACUGAUUUUGUGGCUGACGAUCGAGCAAUGAUCCUAGCCGAUGCGUACGUGCACCCACUAAGCACGGAGCGUGCAUCAAAUUAACCAACACACGAUCAAUCGAUUCUCACGGCGCGAUCAAUUCAAAGUUUCAAACUAAUGCAGCAGCGGAACGUGGGAGGACUGGAGGAGGAUGCUCACCUGGAGGCGGCGAGCGGCGAAGUAGCGGAGGUAGAGGAAGUAGGCGGCGGCGAGGCCGAUGGGGAGGCCGACGCAGAAGCCGAGGACGCCGCCGACGAGGCCCAUCGCCGCCGUCCUCCCUGCGAUGAUCGCGAAUGCCGCUGCGCCGCCGUCGCCGCCCACGGCGGCAACCGCAUGGGGAGUCGGGAACCGCCCGUACGCGCGGAGGUUGGUUGCUGGCGGUUGUCGUGUGGCUCGGUGGUUGGGUUGCUCCUCCUCGGAGACGUCGAACCGAGGCGGGGACAACUACUACUAGAACUAGACGCGGCGGAGCGGGGUGGGGGAGGCGGGAAGGGCGAAGCGAGCAAGAGGGCUGAGCUGGCGGUGUUUAUCGGGGGGAGGGGGCGGAGAACGGGAUGCGCGCCGGCGCUUGGCUGAUGGGUUUUAUGGCGAGGCCGGCGCGCCCGUGCCGCGCGGCGCGGAUGGGUGGAAAAGAGAACCAGCCGAAAUCCACGCGCCGCGCCCGAACAAAAGCCUCGCGGCGGCGGCGGCGGCGGGGGCAGGGGCCAGAGCCCAGGGAGCUGAGGGCUCGGCGCACGGGCGCACGGGCGGAUCGCGUGCGUGCUAGUCCGCGACACGGCUUCAGGCUUUGCUCCUGUUCGUUGUCUUGACUGGGGUGGUGUUGGUUUGGUGGUUGGCCGCUUCCACAUUGCCGUCGGCUGACGGCUGACGACGAGACUUGCCAAAGGCGAUGGCUUUUGGGUUGGCCAUUUGCCCGUAAUUCCAAGCUGCCGUUCAGCCCAACUCCUGCACCUGAUCUUGUUUGGAAGUCAGGCCCGAUGUGUACUGAAGCAACGGUUACACCUCCAUAGCUACCCCCCGUGUAAGAGCAGCUCCAGCGUGUAGUUUUAGUUGGUGCUAGCAGGAGAGAGGAUGGGAUGGAGAACUUUUUUUUUAUUUUUAACCCUUUUUUUUCUUUAUUUAUAAAAAUAACCUCAGCGGGGGUUUAUUUGCGCGGCCUAACCCUUUUGGCCGCGCCAGACCGCCUGGCGCGGCAGGAACAUGCUGCCGCGCCACAUGCACUGGCGCGGCAGACCCCUGCCACGCUGGCGUGGCGAGCCGCGGCGUCAGCGCCCGCCUGCCGCGGCGCCAGGCCGGCGCCAGGCGGGCGCUGACGUGGGCGGGCGUUCGCCGCGCCAGCCCGCCUGGCGCGGCAGGGCCAACACUUAGACCGCGCGCCGGCUCCCUUCCUCCUCCCUCCCUCCUUUCUUCCUCCUCCAGACACACCACACAGCAGCACCUUGCAGCGCCGGCCCCCGCCACCCCACCCCCAAAUCCACCAAAAAUCCGGCGUUUUUGGUGGGGGAAAGUAGUGGGAAUCGAUCCCUGCUUCGUGUGGAAGGUAUUCCCCUACUUAUUCUCGUGUUUUACCGUUGCAUUUGGUAGAUCGGAGGAUGUUUAUGUGACUUAGGGUUAGGUUAGUGAUUUGAAAUUUUAAUGAAAUGCAAUGGUAUUUUGUGUUAGAUGAUACGUAGUUCAUACGCAAUUGAGUCUCUGCCCGCGAUAUUGACGUGUAGAACUUGUUGAAUGCUUCGAUUUAGGUAUAUAUUCAUCCAAUUGUGUGGUUUACAUGACAUGUAUUUUUUUUAUAUGUUCAAUUAAUUACUCUCAUUUUUGUUUCAGUGUUUGUAUUUUGUAGAUCGAGUGUUUACAUUUUAUCAAAAUGAUGUAUAGCUAGUAUGGAUUACGUGUGUAAAGUUUAUUUGUGUAUUAAAUUUGUUGCACUUGAUUUCCAGGUGAGAUGGCGUCGUUUGGUUCUGAAUACAAUCAAGGCAUCCAAAGACAGCCGGAAGAGCCUUCUAUGUAUGCAAAUGGACUUUUGAUCCAUUGCCUGCCGCACCUUGCGAUUUCUUUCAGUGGAUCGAUGGACCCGACAAAUAUGAUCCUAGGAUCCGCCUAUUCCCAUAUCAUAGCACAGAGCUUAAACCAUACCAUAAGUUUAGGCGUUGGGUUCCUCCUCCACCAAACCCACCUAGGAUGACCGAUGAGGAGAAGCAGGAGGCUGCUUGUAGGCGUGUGAGGGAUCCUCCCAUGUGCAAGUGUGGUGUUCCUGCUAAGCUUAUGCGUCCUAACUUAGGGGAUCCACCUAAGUUUACUCCAUUCUUUCGAUGCUCCCUAAAGACUCAUGUAAGUAUAUUACGAGAAUAUUAGUAUGUCGUUUAGCUAGCAGUUAUAAUUUUGCAGUAUAUUGUUCAUACUUUAACUUGAUGUUAUUGCUUGGUAGUUGGAGCAGCGUUUUGUAGUUACUUUACAUAUGAGUAGUUCACGUCAUGGGUUUUUUGCAGGAUGGGUGGCCGUUGUGUGAUUUCAAUGAGUAUAUAUACGGCCCAAUGGCAAUGUGGCCAACAGAGGAGGAAGUGCGGGAGUUUGAAAGUGAAAAUGCACCGUGGCCAUGUGUGUCCUCUCCUAGUGAUAGAUGCAAGUGUGGUAUAUUGGCAACAGAAGGUGUGGUGCCUUCUGAACUUGGAUAUGGUUCGUUCUGUGGAAAUGCACAUGGCGAUUACUGGGUUAGUAACUACUCGUCUCUUAUGUUUUAUGAAGGUUGUAACUUGAUUCAAAUUUGUAAGAAUAUUGAAUUGUUGUUGCAGGAGGGAAGGACAUGUGAUUGGGAAGAUUUUUGUGGUCGAUAUGAUUUGUUAUUAAAGUUGGGAAAUACAUCGGAACCAUGGAAGUUAAGGAAACAACAAGAAAUUAAAGAAAAGAUUAGGAAGAAGUAUGAUGUGCCUAUUCCUGACGACGACUUGCUUUGGGGAAAAAUAUAUCAAGAUAUGGUGCAUGAGACUGGAGUGAAACCUAAUGGACUUUAUGCAAGGGAAACUAUUAUUAAGUAUUGGAGGCAAAAUAGAUCCAAGUAUCCACGACCUCUAACUGAAAAUGAGAAGAGAGAAAAUAGGAGGAAGUUGCAGGAGGAGAGGGAGUUGGAGAAACAAAGGUUGAUGGAGGAAAGAGAUCGCUUAGGUUAUGUGGUUGAUCCGAAUGUGAAAUAUCCUGAGGGUUCAUGGGAACAAUAUUUGCAACAAAAAGCGGCAAGAAAAAGAAGGCUUGAAAUGGAAGAGUUACAACAAAAAGCGGAAGAGGCACAGAUGGAGACGAUGAAGGCUCUUGUUGCCGAUUUACCUGUUGGUAAGGUUAAUGUCGAUAAGAAAGGCAAGGGAGUUGUUGUUGCCGGAGAUGUUGAUGAUGAUGAUGAUGACGACGAGUUACUAUAUGAAGGUGACUCGGACUAGAUGAACGUGUUGAUGUAGCUGGAUCAUGUUUCUCUGAAAACUAUGUAGAACAUUAUGUUUAUGUUUAUUCUGGGAACUAUAAUUAGUUGUCAAAAACUAUUUUCAUUUCCGAGAGAACUAUGUUCAGACGCAUCAAAGUUUGCCGUGACAUGACUGGCUUCUUGUGGUUUUGGCGUGCUGUUUUCCUGACCUCCUGUCCACGGAUCACCGUAGUCAAUCUCCAUGCAUCUUCCCGACCCGGAAGGAAUAAGGUAUAGGAAAGAAGGCAAUGCUUUCUUUUUUUUUCAUUUUUGAUCUGUAAAUUGAGUUGUUAAUGAAUCCGCUUUAUUCGCCGACUCUAUUUCAUUCGCUGAAUAUAUAUGAUAUUUCUUUUCUUUGAAACACAAAUUCUAUAACAAGGUUUGAGACCUUUUGUUUGUAUCUAUUUAUCUCUUUGUAUACUAGUGGAAUUUCAUUGUAUUGGGUUCUUUCUUAGAUCUAAAUGGAGUGGAAUAGAGAAAUAAAAAAAAGGCCUUUCAUAUAAAAAUGGAAGAAUAUUAUACCAUAUAUCUCACUUGGAUAAAACAAAUUAGAAGCAAUUUUCUCUUAUUCUCGUUUGUUCCUUCCUUUAGAUAAAUACUCGAAAAUCUACUGAAAUCUACUUUCAGUA